GAUUGCUAUGAACUGAGAGUAGAGAAACGGUACGUACCUUGCAGGCAGAUCCCAUCAUGUAGUAGGACUUAGCAAAUGUUGAUUCCUUUGUUUUCUUGUUUUCCCACUUCUCCCCUCUGAAGAAAUAGUUGCUCCAUAGAAAAUCCUCCACAGUACUGAAAUGAGGCUGCCUCACCAUUGGGGAUAGUGAAAAGGACAAUUUCCUUUGAACACACUCAUUUUCUGAUUGAAGAGAAUACAGAGAAUGUGGAUUUUCCUGGUGCCAAGUUGUUCUUCCAUUCCUCGGCCAAGUUUCCAUUCUGAUUAACUCAAGAUUCACUUGGAACCCUUUCCUUGCUAUGGCCAUUAAUCCUAAACUGCUUUAUCAGGAACUUGGCCCAAUCUGAGUUAGUUUCCUUCCUUGGAUACCUGCCUUAAACCAGAUCCUCAAACCUCAUAAAUAUCCCUCCUAGAAAAUAAGACUCUGUCAAGGGAGUAUUCUUUCUUAUUUCAGUAGGCAAUGAACUUGAUGCUGUUUUAUCAACAAGUUGAUUAAGUGAUGAUUAGGGUAUCAGUAAUCAACAUUGAUUUGAACCCUGGCUAGCUACAACACUUCCUAGCUGUGUGAUCUUGGGAAACAUUUCUGAGAUGGUUAAUACUGAGUGUC
Molecule: long non-coding RNA, 646 nt
Filed under: Homo sapiens (human)
Lineage: Eukaryota; Metazoa; Chordata; Mammalia; Primates; Hominidae
Description: HSALNT0314096
Source: RNAcentral